Molecule: microRNA precursor, 91 nt
Filed under: Python bivittatus (Burmese python)
Lineage: Eukaryota; Metazoa; Chordata; Lepidosauria; Squamata; Pythonidae
Description: microRNA pbv-mir-128 precursor (pbv-mir-128-2)
Gene: pbv-mir-128-2
Rfam family: mir-128 microRNA precursor family
Source: miRBase by way of RNAcentral
AUGUGCAGUUGGAAGGGGGGCCGUUACACUGUAAGAGAGUGAGUAGCAGGUCUCACAGUGAACCGGUCUCUUUUCUUACUGUGUCACAUCU